GGAUGUAAGGGCAAUCUGGCUGCGACAUCUGUCACCCCAUUGAUCGCCAGGGUUGAUUCGGCUGAUCUGGCUGGCUAGGCGGGUGUCCCCUUCCUCCCUCACUGCUCCAUGUGCGUCCCUCCCGAAGCUGCAUGCUCAGUCAAAGAGGACGACCUUCCCCGAUAGAGACGGUACUGUUCAUCGGUCAAGGGUAUACAGUAGCUGCGCUCCCCUGCUAGAACCUCCAAACGGGAGAAGAAUAUCUCUGAUGAGACAGAAGAAGCAUAUAAAAGAAAGAAUUGCCACCUAAGAAGUGAUGACAUUGCUGGAGUU
Molecule: small nuclear RNA, 312 nt
Filed under: Tauraco erythrolophus (red-crested turaco)
Lineage: Eukaryota; Metazoa; Chordata; Aves; Musophagiformes; Musophagidae
Description: 7SK RNA
Rfam family: 7SK RNA
About the family: 7SK was discovered as an abundant small nuclear RNA in the mid-70s but a possible function has only recently been suggested. Two independent studies have found that 7SK RNA binds the CDK9/cyclin T complex (known as elongation factor P-TEFb).
Source: Rfam by way of RNAcentral